This 2104-nucleotide long non-coding RNA is filed under the name Homo sapiens (human). Its description in RNAcentral is "HSALNT0068445". The record is from RNAcentral. Lineage: Eukaryota; Metazoa; Chordata; Mammalia; Primates; Hominidae.
CUGCUGACGAGUGUACCCUUUCUACAGAAAGUAAAAAAAGGAAAAAAAGGCCUUGCUGAGGAAAUUAAACUUAUGUUCAAGUGCUAUUUCUUUAUGGCACCUAGGAACAAGCAUUUCUAACAGUAAGACUCUGUCUCAAAAAAAAAAAAGAAAGACAAAAAAAAAAAAUAUUUAAAGCUAGAAAUGCCCCUAGUUGGAUUUUGUGAGUCAACAGAUCAUAAAGAUUAAGAAAAGGCUCAGCAUCUGCUGAUCUGGGUUCAAAUCCCAGCUACACAACUCACAGCGUGCGAACCUGGCAGGGCCUCUAAGAUCUCAGUUUCCUCAUCUGUGAAAUGGGGAAACAACAGCACCAGCAUUCAACAAAGCAUUCCAUAAAUGCAAGCUGUUAGCCCAGCGUGGAGACCGAUAUUCUGGAAGUUGGUAAUGAAGAAACUGAGGCCCCAGAGGCACAGACACUGGCCCAAGUUUGCACACGAAGCUGGGGACACAGCUGAGAUGGGAGCCCAGACAGACGGGUUACAGCAAGAUUCCUGACCAACCACGCAGGCGGGCCGCGCAGUCCAGCAGCCAAGAGAACAGGCUCUAGAGGCCACCUGCCUGGAACUCAAAUAGAAAACUUGGGGUGAAACAUGCAUCUUGUAACGAGGAAGCAACCGUGUUAAUGGGUGCCAUGUACUGCAGAUGAUGGAACAGAAAGACACAGGGAGCCCGAGCCUCUGGGAGCACCACUGAGCUGCUAUGGCAGCCAGGUCUUCCCAUUUCUAGACUUCCUGUUAUAUGAAGAAACAAAAAUUUAGUUAAGGUCCUCCAGUAAUAUUUCUGUUGCAUGCAGUCAACCAUAGUCCCUAAUUCAGUGCACAAUGCCCAAGGUGCACAAAGGAGAAAGGAUAAAAGGACUUCUUAGGAACAUGAUCUUUGAGUUGAUCUUGACAAAUGAAUAGAGUCUAAGAUUUCCCAUGGGCGAAGGCACAGAGGGGCAGCCUCUUAUUCUCCCCGCCUGCCAGGGCUUCGAUACCUGAAUGUGCAGUCAUCGUGUGACACCCACCUUCCAGAACCUCUUACUUUUUCUUGGGCACCUGAAACUAAGAAUCUGGUCUUUGACCAACUAAAUCAAUCAUCACCUUCUCCCAUUCAACAUUCCAACCCCCAGGCUGGGCGCGGUGGGUCACGCCUGUAAUCCCAGCACUUUGGGAGGCCGAGGCGGGCAGAUCACCUGAGGUCAGGGGUUCAAGACCAGCCUGGUCAACAUGAUGAAACCCCAUUUCUACUAAAAAUACAAAAAAAUUAGCCAGGCGUGGUGUUAGGUGCCUGUAAUCCCAGCUACUCAAGAAGCUGAGGCAGGAGAAUCGCUUGAACGCAGAAGGUGGAGUUUGCAGUGAGCUGAGCCUGUGCCACUGCACUCCAGCCUGGGCAACAGAGUGGUAUAAGGAAGUGGGGCCUUUGGGGAAUUAUUAGCUCAUGAGGGUGGUGCUUUCAUGAGGAGGAUCAGUGCCCUUAUAAAAAAGACACUCCAGAGAGCUCCCUUGCCCCUUCUGCCAUGUGAGAACACAGUGAGAAGGUGCCAUCUAUAAACCAGGAAGUGAGCCCUCACCAGACACCAAAUCUUCCAGCACCUUGAUCUUGGACUUCCCAGCCUCCAGAACUGUGUGAAAUAAAUUUCUAUUGUUUAUAAGCCAUCCACUCUACAGUAUUUUUAUUAUAGCAGCCCACAUGGACUAAGACAGGAACCUUCUAGGAGCCUGGCUCUGGGCUCUGUGCCUCACAUUUAUCUCAUUUCACUCUUGCAACCACCCUGAGAUAAGGACAUUUGUCCCCACUUUGCAGGGGCAGAAGGAACUGAGGUGCAAAGAAAUUAGCAACCCAGCCAAGGUCACACAGCUAGUAAGUAAGGUAGGUUGGUGUGGAAUUCAGACCUGCCUGUGUACCUUCAAAGUAUGCUUGCACUCUAGUUCCCCAUUCUGCUAUCAGGAGCCUUGAAUUCAACAUCCAACCCAAACACCACCACCAUGUGUGGCUUAGAUAAAUUAAUUUCACCUCCUUGAGCCUCAGUUUGUCCAUGUCUAAGUUGAGAGAGUUCUGGGGGCUAAAUAGGAGGUCUCAAAGG